This 68-nucleotide ribosomal RNA is filed under the name Flavobacteriaceae bacterium R38. Its description in RNAcentral is "partial 23S ribosomal RNA". The record is from RNAcentral. Lineage: Bacteria; Pseudomonadati; Bacteroidota; Flavobacteriia; Flavobacteriales; Flavobacteriaceae.
AUAGGCUAUAGGUGUAAUGGCAGUAAUGUCUUAGCCGAGUAGUACUAAUAACCCAUAGGCUUAUGUAC